Molecule: long non-coding RNA, 251 nt
Filed under: Capsicum annuum
Lineage: Eukaryota; Viridiplantae; Streptophyta; Magnoliopsida; Solanales; Solanaceae
Description: long non-coding RNA (CANN_LNC015162)
Source: RNAcentral
UUGUCUCUACAUAAUUCAAGUCCAAUUUUCAAGGUUGUUGCUUCUGCAAUGUUGUUUGUGUUGUGGCCUAAUUGGACAACAAAGGCUCCAAGUAUCUUGCCUUGUGAGUUUCUUAUUCCACCACCACAACUCAGGUCGGGGUUUCCUUUUGAGCACCCGUCAUAUUUAAUUUCAUCCAUCCCUCUCUAGGAGGUAUCUAUUUAACCAUAGUAGUAGAAAAUGCGGGUGUGGCCUUCUCUAGUAGAUCAAAA